UUAAAUGUUGUCAAUCAUAUUUAAAUUAGAUUUUUUUGUUCAUUGAACUAGACGGAAGAGUGAAUUUACUAAAUAAAUAUGCCCAAAUUAACGUACCUACUUGUUCUGAUAGCAGUUAUCGCCAUCGUAUCGGCUCGUCCUUAUCCACAAGGCGUGACCGUCGUGGAGAAUGAAAAUGGAGUUGCAGUUGUCGAUGGAAACGGACCAG
Long non-coding RNA from Maniola jurtina (meadow brown), 208 nucleotides. RefSeq lists it as uncharacterized. The transcript is spliced from 4 exons. NCBI's taxonomy places the organism in Eukaryota, Metazoa, Arthropoda, Insecta, Lepidoptera, Nymphalidae. The record is from RefSeq and is a predicted model, not a curated record.